AGUCGUAACAAGGUCUCCGUAGGUGAACCUGCGGAGGGAUCAUUACUGAGUGAGGGCCCCCGGCCCGACCUCCAACCCUUUGUAAACCGACCCUGUUGCCUCGGGGGACUCCGGCGUCUUCGGGCGCCGGGCCCCCCGUGGACCCCCAACUCAUGCGUCAUUUGGUUCGGCAGUUGAAUGAUAAAUCAAUUAAAA
Molecule: unclassified non-coding RNA, 195 nt
Filed under: plant metagenome
Description: partial contains small subunit ribosomal RNA and internal transcribed spacer 1
Rfam family: Eukaryotic small subunit ribosomal RNA (bases 1-45)
Source: RNAcentral